UGCCAUUCGGUUUCGUUUCAAGUGGCAAAAGGAGGUGAAAUUUCGAAAAAAAUUGAAAUGAAUGAAUGAAUCAAAGGAGGACUAGGGGGGUCGGCUGCCAAAAUGACACGAGAGGUUGAGUGUAGAAAGAAGAAGAAAGGCAACGACGAAAUUAGCAGAAAGAACACAGGGGUAAAGGACUGUUGGGCAAUAGUGGGGUGAAACUGAAGG
Non-coding RNA from Caenorhabditis elegans, 210 nucleotides. Lineage: Eukaryota; Metazoa; Nematoda; Chromadorea; Rhabditida; Rhabditidae. The record is from Ensembl.